Molecule: small RNA, 563 nt
Filed under: Pongo abelii (Sumatran orangutan)
Lineage: Eukaryota; Metazoa; Chordata; Mammalia; Primates; Hominidae
Description: retained intron
Source: RNAcentral
UGGCCAUCACCCUGUCUGCCCUCCCCAGAUCUUCACCCGGAUGGGAAAGUGCUACACAUUUAACUCUGGCGCCGAUGGGGCAGAGCUGCUCACCACUACUAGGGGUGGCAUGGGCAAUGGGCUGGACAUCAUGCUGGACGUGCAGCAGGAGGAAUAUCUACCUGUGUGGAGGGACAAUGAGGAGACCCUGUUUGAGGUGGGGAUCCGAGUGCAGAUCCACAGCCAGGAGGAGCCGCCCAUCAUCGAUCAGCUGGGCUUGGGGGUGUCCCCGGGCUACCAGACCUUUGUUUCUUGCCAGCAGCAGCAGGUACCCUCCCGUGUGCCUCCACACCUACUACUUCAAGCCCACACCACCUUGGACCCUAAACCCUCAGCUCCUCAGACCUGUCUAGGGGCCUUUCCCCAGCUGGCCUCUCACGCUCUCCGGGAAGCCUCCUUAACCCUGUCCCCCCACAGCUGAGCUUCCUGCCACCGCCCUGGGGCGAUUGCAGUUCAGCAUCUCUGAACCCCAACUAUGAGCCGGAGCCCUCUGAUCCCCUGGGCUCCCCCAGCCCCAGCCCCAG